Molecule: ribosomal RNA, 373 nt
Filed under: uncultured organism
Description: partial 16S ribosomal RNA
Rfam family: Bacterial small subunit ribosomal RNA
Source: RNAcentral
GUAGGUGGCAAGCGUUGUCCGGAAUUAUUGGGCGUAAAGCGCGCGCAGGCGGUUCUUUAAGUCUGAUGUGAAAGCCCACGGCUCAACCGUGGAGGGUCAUUGGAAACUGGAGAACUUGAGUACAGAAGAGGAAAGCGGAAUUCCACGUGUAGCGGUGAAAUGCGUAGAGAUGUGGAGGAACACCAGUGGUGAAGGCGGCUUUCUGGUCUGUAACUGACGCUGAGGCGCGAAAGCGUGGGGAGCAAACAGGGAUUAGAUACCCUGGUAGUCCACGCCGUAAACGAUGAGUGCUAAGUGUUAGGGGGUUUCCGCCCCCUUAGUGCUGCAGCUAACGCAUUAAGCACUCCGCCUGGGGAGUACGGCCGCAAGGCUG